Molecule: ribosomal RNA, 440 nt
Filed under: uncultured bacterium
Lineage: Bacteria
Description: partial 16S ribosomal RNA
Rfam family: Bacterial small subunit ribosomal RNA
Source: RNAcentral
CCUACGGGAGGCAGCAGUGGGGAAUAUUGCACAAUGGGGGAAACCCUGAUGCAGCGACGCCGCGUGAGUGAAGAAGUAAUUCGUUAUGUAAAGCUCUAUCAGCAGGGAAGAAAAUGACGGUACCUGAGUAAGAAGCUCCGGCUAACUACGUGCCAGCAGCCGCGGUCAUACGUAGGGGGCAAGCGUUCUCCGGAUUUACUGGGUGUAAAGGGAGCGUAGAAGGCAGUGCAAGGCUGGAGUGAAAGGCGGGGGCUCAACCCCCGGACUGCUCUGGAAACUGUACGGCUGGAGUGCAGGAGAGGUAAGUGGAAUUCCUAGUGUAGCGGUGAAAUGCGUAGAUAUUAGGAGGAACACCAGUGGCGAAGGCGGCUUACUGGACUGUAACUGACGUUGAGGCUCGAAAGCGUGGGGAGCAAACAGGAUUAGAUACCCCUGUAGUC